GAUGAACGCUGGCGGCGUGCCUAAUACAUGCAAGUCGAGCGAACAGACGAGGAGCUUGAUCCUCUGACGUUAGCGGCGGACGGGUGAGUAACACGUGGAUAACCCCCCUAUAAGACUGGGAUAACUUCGGGACACCGGAGAUAAUACCGGAUAAUAUAUUGAACCACAUGGUUCAAUAGUGAAAUACGGUUUUGCUGUCACUUAUAGAUGGAUCCGCGCCGGAUUAGCUAGUUGGUAGGGUAACGGCUUACCAAGGCAACGAUGCGUAGCCGACCUGAGAGGGUGAUCGGCCACACUGGAACUGAGACACGGUCCAGACUCCUACGGGAGGCAGCAGUAGGGAAUCUUCCGCAAUGGGCGAAAGCCUGACGGAGCAACGCCGCGUGAGUGAUGAAGGUCUUCGGAUCGUAAAGCUCUGUUAUUAGGGAAGAACAAAUGUGUAAGUAACUAUGCACGUCUUGACGGUACCUAAUCAGAAAGCCACGGCUAACUACGUG
This 497-nucleotide ribosomal RNA is filed under the name uncultured bacterium. RNAcentral's name for it is "partial 16S ribosomal RNA". It matches the Rfam family "Bacterial small subunit ribosomal RNA", at positions 28 to 507 of the family's 1533-position model. The record is from RNAcentral.